RNAcentral lists this ribosomal RNA (465 nucleotides) under Vreelandella stevensii. Its description in RNAcentral is "partial 16S ribosomal RNA". It matches the Rfam family "Bacterial small subunit ribosomal RNA", at positions 338 to 795 of the family's 1533-position model. Lineage: Bacteria; Pseudomonadati; Pseudomonadota; Gammaproteobacteria; Oceanospirillales; Halomonadaceae. The record is from RNAcentral.
CCUACGGGGGGCUGCAGUGGGGAAUAUUGGACAAUGGGCGAAAGCCUGAUCCAGCCAUGCCGCGUGUGUGAAGAAGGCCUUCGGGUUGUAAAGCACUUUCAGUGGGGAAGAAAGCCUUGGGGCUAAUACCCUCGAGGAAGGACAUCACCCACAGAAGAAGCACCGGCUAACUCCGUGCCAGCAGCCGCGGUAAUACGGAGGGUGCGAGCGUUAAUCGGAAUUACGGGGCGUAAAGCGCGCGUAGGCGGUCUGAUAAGCCGGUUGUGAAAGCCCCGGGCUCAACCUGGGAACGGCAUCCGGAACUGUCAGGCUAGAGUGCAGGAGAGGAAGGUAGAAUUCCCGGUGUAGCGGUGAAAUGCGUAGAGAUCGGGAGGAAUACCAGUGGCGAAGGCGGCCUUCUGGACUGACACUGACGCUGAGGUGCGAAAGCGUGGGUAGCAAACAGGAUUAGCUACCCCUGUAGUC